GAUGAACGCUAGCGACAGGCCUAACACAUGCAAGUCGAGGGGCAGCAUGGUAUCAGCUUGCUGAUACCGAUGGCGACCGGCGCACGGGUGAGUAACGCGUAUGUAAUCUGCCUGUAACAGAGGGAUAACCCGGAGAAAUCCGGCCUAAUACCUCAUAGCACAUAUUAUUCGCAUGAGUUUUAUGUUAAAGAGACUCGGUUACAGAUGAACAUGCGUUCCAUUAGCUGGUUGGCGGGGUAACGGCCCACCAAGGCAACGAUGGAUAGGGGUUCUGAGAGGAAGGUCCCCCACACUGGUACUGAGACACGGACCAGACUCCUACGGGAGGCAGCAGUGAGGAAUAUUGGUCAAAUGGGCGAGAGC
This 363-nucleotide ribosomal RNA is filed under the name uncultured bacterium. Its description in RNAcentral is "bacterial SSU rRNA". It matches the Rfam family "Bacterial small subunit ribosomal RNA", at positions 28 to 382 of the family's 1533-position model. The record is from RNAcentral.